Molecule: long non-coding RNA, 797 nt
Organism: Pantherophis guttatus
Lineage: Eukaryota; Metazoa; Chordata; Lepidosauria; Squamata; Colubridae
Source: RefSeq, a predicted model, not a curated record
GGUGAAAGAAGCUACAAUCAGCCAUUACUGUUUCAGAUUGCUUUCCAGAGCCGCAUAUGUCCUAACUGCAUAUAUGAAAGGAGCUAGUGACAAACAAGAUACAUACUGGCAUCAACAGCAGACUGCAUUACCUGAACAAGAUGCAGCAGUAGAGCCACUAAAAGUAAAAAAAGUGGUGUGAUCAAUAAUAUGGAUGCUGCCAAUAAGGCUUCUGGGUGAAAAACCAGUUCGAAGAUGUGCUGGAUGACUGCUUCCAACAUUCCCAUCCAAUCAUGGACACACAAAACUCACAUGGAGAUAUAAUCCAAUGCAACUGCAAGGCAUCAGCUUCAGAAAGGUUGCUCUACAGAAUACAAAGUACCUUUUAAUUUAUCCAGAAACCUGCAGAAUUGAACCUUGCAAAAUUGUUUGGGAAACAUGUCUAGACAGAGUAUCUCUUUCACACAUGUAGUUGUAAAAUGGAAGUGUACAAGCUUGUUUCUCCAUAUAUCCUUGACUGGAUAAUCAAAUAAAUUUAGCCGGUAACAUUUAACAUGCUGGAAAAGUACCAUACUAGAUGUUUUAUAGAAGCUCAUCAGAGAUUCCUCAAUUUUUUUCACCUGUAUUUCAGCAAUGUAAAUAUGUCAUAAUGGCAUUUUCUCAGUAUUUUCAUUCUGUGUUCCUAUAUAAAUCACAGUGCAGAAGAAUCUACAGUUGUUCUAACUUUUGUUUUUAAUCAAUGGAAGAAAUGAAAAUUCCUUGAUUUAUUUUACAUCAAGAAUCUGAAACUGAGCAUUUUCAGGGAAAAUAAAUCACAG